Molecule: long non-coding RNA, 1316 nt
Organism: Numida meleagris (helmeted guineafowl)
Lineage: Eukaryota; Metazoa; Chordata; Aves; Galliformes; Numididae
Exons: 3
Source: RefSeq, a predicted model, not a curated record
UGGAGCCGCUGUGCGGAACCGCGCCUCAGCAUCCCCACCGCCAUCUUGGGGGGGGGGGAGGUGAGGGGCGUAUUUCAUCUUCGGGGCACUCCGCCCACACCGCGUGAUUUUAUUCUCGUUUAAUUCUCCACUCCGGGCAACCUGGGAAGAAGAUGAAUGCCCUAAGACUGCACCCAGCUUCCCUUCUGGAGGAAACCAAGACCUGCUUCCACAAAAUGCAACAUCAUCUCUCAGGGUUUUCCGCCUGCACACAGGAGUGGACUCUGCCUCAUCCAGCAGGUUUUAUAGCUUAGACUCUUGAACACCUUCAGAAAUUGGAGCAUAAACUGAUGUUGAGUUUGGUCAGCAAAGUCAAGCCUUGCAGUUGUAGUUACGUGCAUAACAAAUGGUAUUACCUGUCCGUGUAUAGCCUUUAACUUAUUUAUCUGUAGCUUGGAUUAAGUCAAAUGAAACAGCCAACACUAGUGUAUACUGCUAAUGUAUAAGGAGGACAUUAGUUUGUGGGUUUUUUUUUUUUAUAUUAAAGUUUUUUAUCGGGAAAAGACUGUCAUUUUGUGCCUGUCUAGCCUGGAUGUAAGCACUGAACAAAUAAUAUAUAAUAACACAUGGCACUGACACAAGCUAUUCUGGUGAAAUGUAGCCGGUGGGGACCUAAGCUUAGCAGCCAGAUUGUCAGCACUACAUAGUACCAAAUACGCAUGAGGAGUUUCAGCUAUGGUUCAGACACAGCCCCUCACAGCAACCAGCUCUUGGGGAGGAAAAAGUAUAACUGUAUAAUUUAAUUUUUAAAAAUCCCAGCUUUUUCAAAAGCGGGAACUUAGAUCAUUCUGUGAAGAAAUCUAGCGUUCGCUUCAGUCCAAUAGAACAAUUGAGGGAAUUGCUGAAAAGGGUCUUCCAGCUCUACAUGGAAAGAAUUCUAUUUCCAAAAGUCUUCCGCAUCUGCCAGCUACUAUAAGUUGGACUGAAAACUGUCAAAUACUUAACAACUUUGAAAAUCCAGUUACUUCCUACACAAAAUGUGAGUGCUGGAAUCUAACAGUCUUUUGAAAUUUAUGGCCAAGGAAUCCGAGUGUGUCUCUGUAUAAAAAAAUACAUAAUUGUUCAUGGAUUUUGAGUUAUCCGGGGCUAAAUGGAAUCAGAAAUUGCUGAGGCAUAAGUAUCACUGUAAUGUAAAUACAAUCACCAUUUAAUCCUGAUAAAUACUGGAUUAUAGACUUCAGAAAGCAGACUGACAAUUAUUGGAAAUCCUGUGGUCACCUCAAGUAUGUCAUUUCAAGUAUACAAUAUUUCAGUUAAAAUAAAACCAUAAAAUCGUU